AUACUUAUCUGGCAGGGGAGAUACCAUGAUCACGAAAGUGGUUUUCCCGGGGUGAGGCUUAUCCAUUGCACUCCAGAUAUUUUGACCCCUGUGAUUUCCCUAAAUGUGGGAAACUCGACUGCAUAAUUUAUGGUAGUGGGGGACUGUGUUUGCACUCUCCCCUG
Molecule: small nuclear RNA, 164 nt
Organism: Fukomys damarensis (Damara mole-rat)
Lineage: Eukaryota; Metazoa; Chordata; Mammalia; Rodentia; Bathyergidae
Gene: U1
Rfam family: U1 spliceosomal RNA
About the family: U1 is a small nuclear RNA (snRNA) component of the spliceosome (involved in pre-mRNA splicing). Its 5' end forms complementary base pairs with the 5' splice junction, thus defining the 5' donor site of an intron. There are significant differences in sequence and secondary structure between metazoan and yeast U1 snRNAs, the latter being much longer (568 nucleotides as compared to 164 nucleotides in human).
Source: Ensembl